ACUUUCGAUGGUAGGAUAGAGGCCUACCAUGGUGGUAACGGGUAACGGGGUGUUAGGGCACGACACCGGAGAGGGAGCCUGAGAAACGGCUACCACAUCCAAGGAUGGCAGCAGGCGCGCAAAUUACCCAAUCCCGACACGGGGAGGUAGUGACAAUAAAUAACAAUACGGGGUUCUUUCGGAUCUCGUAAUUGGAAUGAGUACAAUUUAAAUCUCUUAACGAGGAACAAUUGGAGGGCAAGUCUGGUGCCAGCAGCCGCGGUAAUUCCAGCUCCAAUAGCGUAUAUUAAAGUUGUUGCAGUUAAAAAGCUCGUAGUUGAAUUUCGGGAUCAAUAUGUCGGUCGUGCUUCGGUACGUACUUGCAUUAUUGAUUUCUCCCUUCUGAAGAACCAUGAUGUCAUUAAUUUGGUGUCUUGGGGAAUCAGGACUGUUACUUUGAAAAAAUUAGAGUGUUUAAAGCAGGCUAACGCUUGAAUACAUUAGCAUGGAAUAAUGAAAUAGGACGUUUGAUUCUAUUUUGUUGGUUUCUAGGAUCGACGUAAUGAUUAAUAGGGAUAGUUGGGGGCAUUAGUAUUCAAUUGUCAGAGGUGAAAUUCUUGGAUUUAUUGAAGACUAACUACUGCGAAAGCAUUUGCCAAGGAUGUUUUCAUUAAUCAAGAACGAAAGUUAGGGGAUCGAAGACGAUCAGAUACCGUCGUGGUCUCAACUAUAAACUAUACCAACUCGGGAUGGGUCAACGUUGAAUCUACGACUUGAUCCGCACCGUAUGGGAAACCAAAGUGUUUGGGUUC
This 791-nucleotide ribosomal RNA is filed under the name uncultured Glomus. Its description in RNAcentral is "SSU rRNA". It matches the Rfam family "Eukaryotic small subunit ribosomal RNA", at positions 318 to 1114 of the family's 1831-position model. The record is from RNAcentral. Lineage: Eukaryota; Fungi; Glomeromycota; Glomeromycetes; Glomerales; Glomeraceae.